UUCAUGGACGAAGCCACGAGUGUGGCCAA
RNAcentral lists this small RNA (29 nucleotides) under Bombyx mori (domestic silkworm). RNAcentral describes it as "ovarian small RNA-37074". Lineage: Eukaryota; Metazoa; Arthropoda; Insecta; Lepidoptera; Bombycidae. The record is from RNAcentral.